UGUCAGCACUGUCCCUUGGGACCUCUUUUACACUGAGCUACUGCUGUAUCAUGUAGGUACAUGUCCAGCUCAGUAGAACUUUUCCUCCAUGUGGAUUGUAUCAUGUUUUGUAGUGCUUGGGAAAGGUCUGCAAUAAGACUGUCCUUUUUCAUAGGCCAGCAGGCUGCCUUUGUCGUUCACCCUUGUAGUUUCCUUCAUGACUGACCACUUGUCAGAUAAUGUGACACAUUCCAAGUGGCAAUGACUGAAAGUUGGAAGGUUCAUCCAGGCUUCUGGUUGUAAAUCUAUCAGAAAAAACUGUUCUCUUGUAGGAGCUUAGAACCAGUGAGUAGAACAUGCCGGGGCCUGUGUUAUUUGAAUUCUGACAGUGGAGAGAAAAUGAAAGAUUAAAGGGAAUUCUUAUCUUGUACUGCAAUCCACCAUAAAAUGUUCUGUGACUGAGUAGUUCCUACGUCCCAGAGGUAAGACAACUGCUAUUGUUUUGUUGAAUGGAAUGGUUGGGUCUCUCCAUUUCCCUUCUAAACCUUUGCAGUUUUGCAGGAGAUUAAUGUAUUUGCAGAUGCAGAUGUAACAGUUACAGUCUGCUUCCUUGCUAGCCAUCCUUUGGCAUUUGUUUCUGUUGCUGCUGGAGAGAGUUGUAAUUGUUUCAGCUGCUGAGUCUCAGUGGCUGCUGCUGUCGUGAGAUGGCUGGCUGGUACUCAGAAAUGGAUCAUGCACAAAGCAGUCCUUCCAAAGCUCAGGGAUUGUCCUACUAGUAGUCCAAUCAAAUUGAGAGCUAGAACAGUGGGUAGAAUAGUGUAGCAUGGCUUUUUAUUCCAAAAUCAAGUGAACAUUCCAUUGUGAUAUGUUAGCAGUGAUUACUUUGGAUGGAUGGAUACCUUAGAAAGUAAUUGAACAGAAAUUUGCAGUGAUAGACAGGUCUGUGUCUGUGAAGCUUAACUGUACAUAGUAGAAGGAGCCAUGCAGAUUCAUGAAAACUUGACUUGUCAUUCUAGAUGUUACUUGCAUUUGACCAUCAGGCACAUUGGAAAAUGGUCUUUCUUUAUGCUAGAGAGUAGAAAUAGAGGUUAACUAAAAGUAGGGGGCUUCCAAGUAUUGCUUCCAUAGGAAACACCAAUAAGUUGGUGGGUAUAAUGUGAAGUAUUCUACCCUCUCUCUAUUUCAGUAUGAGGUCACUUUAAACACCAUCACUAUGUCUAUAUCAUUUCCCAUUUAUACAUCUCCAAGGAAUUGAACAUGAUAUUGCUUUGCACAUCAGUACAUAUCGCAGCAUUUUUCAGGAAUAUUUUCCAAUAAGAGAGCAAUGGAGAAGGAAUAUGUGAUGUCUACACACAACAGAACCAUUUCAGCUGAAGUGAUGAAUUCAGUCAAGGUGAUUGCAGGAGAGUUCUUGUAACUCAUGAUAAUCAUAUUAUACCAUAUGUAUCCAGUCCCAGACAAAUAUCUCCUGAUGCUGUCUGUGUAUAUGGAUCCUAGAUUACACAUAUCUCCAUGGUUCCAUUCAUGACUUGGGAGGCAAUGCUGUCAAGCAGAUGUCAAUGUCUAAGAUUUUUGGUGACAGUUAAGGAAAGUUACUGGGCUCAGUAUACAAUAUACAGUUUUAAAAGAAUAUGUUCAAUGAAAAGUACAAUGAGAACUAAUGUUAUUGAGAAGGAUUCAAUACAAGUACAGCACUAUAUGAAUUGCUUUAAUAUGAAAAUGCUUACUGAGCUUUGUUUAAUAAGAAUUAUUCUACAAGACCCUUAGUUUGAAAACAUCAAGAUUAAAGUAAUAAUAUCAAGGUUAGAGAUAGCUAUUCAAAUGCAUUUCUAUUGCUCCUAAGAUGUAAAGUGAAGCACAGUAGUCUCAUGGCAGUGCUUAAAUCGGUAAUUAAAGCCACACAAAGACAGCAUAACACCAGAGGCCUCCUUAAGCCAUUGCUUUUCGUUAUUCUGUUGUACCCAAAUUUGUCCCUGUGAGGAUCAUCGUAUACAGGUAGUAGGAUCUUUUCAUGGUGGGUUUGUUAAUAUUUUCUACAUGGAUGACUUUGGAAAUAGCUCUCUUUAGAAUGAACAAUUUUGGUCCCACAUAGUAGUUAGAUAUUGUGAAGACAGAUACACCAUUUGUGGUGAUAUUUUAUUUGUAUGUUAAUAUAUAAAGCAUGCCUGGAGAUCAAGGGUAAAACGGCCAGCCACUUUUAAGUAAACAUAGAAGUGAUGCAGUGGUAGCACACGCUCUUAAUUCGAUCAUGUGACAUAGGGUCUCUGUGUGUUCAAGGACACACUAGGGAACAGCCAAGCAUGGUGACACACGCAUUUAAUCCCAGUACCAACCACAGAGACCUGGUGGUCUGUAGAGACAGGCAUUGACAAGGAAGUGAGGCAGCUGGGCUAAGAGCCAAUGAGAGGGCAAGGCAAUAAAGGCAUGGGUAAGACAGGAAGUAGCUCACUUUUGGUAGGUACAGGACUGGAGAGGUAAAGUUGGUGGCUCUCUCUAUUUCUCUGAUCUCUAAGGCUUUCACCCCUAUAUUUGGCUCUGUGUUUCUUAUUUAAUAAGACCAUUUAGAAAUUCAUCUACAAUUGGUGCUCACAUGGCAAGAAUUCAUUAAAAAAACCCAUUGAUGGCCUUAUAGGCCAGGGUUUACAGGCCUCCUGGCUUGGCCAGAGCUACAUGAGAUCUAGCUAAAUGCAGCUGGAGCUACUUGCAGCCAGAUCUCCUACUCAUGUUGCUGGAGCUGCAAGGUUGCAGAGCUGCAAGCAGCUGGACUGCUUGUAUGUUUACAGAGCCGCUCGUUCAGGCCAGAGCACGUGGCUGGACUUUUUAUUUAGUUUUUAGCUUUUAGGACGUGCUUUCUCUCUCUUUCUCUCUGUCUCUCUGUCUCUAUCUCUGUCUCUCUGACUCUCUGUCUCUCUCUGUCUCUCUCUGUCUCUCUCUGUCUCUCUCUCUCUCUCUCUCUCUCUCUGUCUUUCUGAUUCCCAUUUUGGACUGCCACCAUGCUUGGUAGCUGCCUUGAAAUUCCUUGGACUUCUACUGUUCUAUGCAGACUUGGUAAGUCAAUUAAGAUAUCAGAUAUCUUAAAGGGAGAAACUAGUUAAAAGAGAACAUUUUUUUUCCAUAUUAAAAAAUAGGAAAUAUUUUUCAAUAAAAGGAAAUUAGUCUUUGUUUGAUAAUUCAUUAGACAGUCUGAAAACUGUACAGUUAAAUGAGAGGAUAAUUAAUGCUGAUAGGAUGUAGGAAACAUCAGUUAUAACUAUUAUUUGUUUAAUUAUCCUUAUUUUAGUAUUAAAAGGAUUGGUGAAGUUAAGUGCCAAGACAAAAGCUUGAGGAAAAAAAAGGUUAAAAUGAAUUAUAGAGAAAUUCAGACCCAGGCAGAAGACUUUAAAGGUGAAAUUAUUUCAGGAACGCAUUAUAUGGUUACAGAGAGACAGCCUCUUUUCAAACAAUCAAACUUAAUUCAUCUGGUAGCCUUAUAGGAACUACCUGCUCAACGGCAUGUACAAGCGAAUUGGACUCCAGUGGAAAUGGUAGAUUUAAGGAGAUUUAAAGAAGCUAUAGUAUCCUAUGGAAUGCAUUCUCCAUUUGUAAAGCAAAUGUUAAACUCGUGGUCAACUUGUAAUAGGAUUAUUCCUCAGGACUGGAAAGAGUUGGUAACAGAUGUUCUAGAAUCCAGAGCACAAUUACAGUGGUGACAAUGGCUUAAGGAGGAGGCUAAGGCAAUAGACACCAUGUAGAAUUAGAGGUGUGGACAUUGCCCAGGAUCAAAGACAAUGUUUAUAUGAUAAUCAAACCUUAAUUCUAUGCCGCAUGGCAGCCAUGAAUGCAUGGGACAGAAUUGAGGAAGCAGGAAAAAAAUUGAAAAUUUAAGUAAAGUGGUUCAAAGUCAUUAUAAUUCAGUUCAAAAAUGGAAUUGUAUGAUAUUCUUUGAUAUUAACAGAUUUUUCAGAACCUCUCAACAUAGUUACAAACUCUCAGUAUGCUGAAAGAGUGGUAUUAUAUAUUGAGACUGCAGAAUUUAUCCCUGAUGAGUCAGAAUUAACUUCACUAUUUAUUCAGUUACAAGAUAUAAUCAGGAAUAGGAGCAUCCCUUAUAUAUAACUCACAUCUGAUCCCAUAUGGGUCUGCCAGGCCCUCUAGCACAAGGUAAUGACAAGAUUGAUAAAUUAUUGAUAGGAAAUGUGAUGGAGGCUUCAGAAUUUCAUAAAAAACAUCAUGUCAAUAGUAAAGAUUUAAAAAAGAAUUUUUCUAUAACGUGGCAACAAGCUAAGGAUAUUGUAAGGAAAUGUCCUAAUUUUUCCUUUUAUAACCAGACUCUGCUACCAGCUAGAUGUAACUCAAAGGGUACUCAGAGGAAUGAAAUCUGGCAGAUGGAUGUGUUUCACUUUGCAGAAUUUGGAAAACUAAAAUAUGUACACUAUACCAUUGAUACUUAUUCAGGAUUUCAGUGCAGAAAUGCUUUUGGUUCUGAAAAUGCUGAACCUGUAAUCAUGCAUUUGCUAGAAGUUAUGGCCAUCAUGGGUAUACCUGCACAAAUUAAAACUUACCAUGUUCCAGCAUAUGUCUCUCGUAAAACGAAAAUUUUUGCUUAUUACAAUAUAAGCAUAUUACAGUUAUACCACAUAAUCCUACAGGCCAAGCAAUUUUAGAAAGAUCAAAUAGAACUCUAAAGGAUAUGCUAAAUAAACAGAAAGGGGUAACAACCCCCCCCCAGAAAUAGAUUACAUAAUGCUCUAUUAACUUUGAAUUUUCUCAGAGCUAAUGAGAAAGGGACAAUAGCUGCAGAGAGACAUUGGAUAAUAGAUAAAACUGCAGAAUUAAAUCGGCCUAUAUACUUUAAGGAUGUGCUGACCUCAGAAUGGAAACCAGGAUAUGUGUUAUGUUGGGAACGAGGUUUUGCUUUUGUUUCUAUAGGAAAAGAUAAGCUGUGGAUACCAUCAAAAUUGAUAUAGGUUCAAUUUGAACAACAGAGACCCCUUAAUUAGAAGAGGUGAUAGUUCAUCAACCAGCAUGACCAUCCAAUUUAAACUAACUUAUACCACUAACAAAUGCCUUUUUAUUUAAUCAGAUAUAACUUGCCAAAAGGGAACCUCUCCAAAGUUAGGUUUGGGGAAGCGUUUUUUGUUUUUGUCUUUCAGGAGAAUGAAGGCCAAGGAAUCUGAAGAACACUGGACAAAUGAGACAUUUGAAGAAAAAGGACAAAUCAUCUAGAAAAAUGUCCCAAGAAAAAGAGUAAUUUGGCCUGUUGGUGUAUCACAUGUAAAAUUUCUUAAGUCUUCCUAAAUAUUUGUUUCUGCUCUUCUCUACAGACCACUAACACAAAUGGUCUUUUUGUAGUCCUAGUUCAAUUAACAAUUAAAGCUGGCUUUGAAGUUGGAGAAUGGCUCUUUCCUUCUCUAAACCCACGUAUGUUGUUAAAAGGAAAAUGGAAAAUCUCUGUGUCAUGUCAGAUGAAAGAGCCAUCUUCUGAUAUAGGACAGAAGAAAACCAAAAAAUUAAGGAACUGGUUUUUUUGCCACUAAUCUCAAUUCUUUGGUUCUAUUUUGAGUCUUUAAACUUUUCUUAAGUUAUGAAUUUUAUAUCAAAAUUUACAAGAUUUAUAUAUGUAUAUAACUUUGUCAUGAUAUUAUUGGUCAUAUAGAGUACUAACUAAUUCUAGAAAAAGGCUUAAUUUAGCUGCCUAUACAUGUUUUUGUGUCGGAGUCUCUAUCAGUUUUCUGCAGGGAAUCAUGACCAGGCCUAACCUCGAAUUUGAAGUCUCCAGAAAGAUGAUGGAGUCCCAUAACAAUGAUUCCAUAUGGACUAUAAUAAUACCACUAAGCUGACAAACAUCACCCAAAGAUCAUCUUUGGACUACAAACUGCUCAGAACAAUUUUGAGAUGGCUAGCUGAGAUGAUCCUGUUUCACAGACUACUUGAACAAGGACUUGAGAUAAGCCCUGCACUUUGGCAUUAUACCAAGACUGGACAACAAAUGAUAUAGCUACCUCUCCUGGAACUUGACAUUUAACCCAAAAAUUUUCUUUUCAGAAUCUUCUAAAGAUGCUAUCACCAACAAACUGCAGAAAGCAACUUUUCAGAGCACUAUGUCCACAUUCCCAAGAGGUGGGGCGGGUGGUUUUUGGUUUUUCAAUGGGUUUUGGGUUUGGGGUAGUUGUCAUUGUUUAGGAGGCUUGGUUACAAGUUGUUGUAGUUAAUGGUCAGGAAAAGGGCUAAACAAAGGAGAUUAGAUUUAAGAUUCUUGUUUGGAAAAAAAGAUGAUAUAGAUAAGACGUAGAUUAUUGAAUCUACUCUGAAAAAAAAGAUAUAGAAAUGAUAGAAUAAAAGGUACAUUAUUGAAUCUACUCUGAAAAAAACGAGAGGAUAUAGAUAUGAUACAGUUAAAAAAGUAGAUUAUUGAAUCUAUUUUUAAAAGAAAACUACUAGUUUUAAGUACUUUACAUUGGAUUGAAUUUUUAUAUAUUGUACACAAAUUAUAUAUAUUGAGAUUGAUAUUGUUAGAAAAUGCUGUAUGUAUAUUGCUAAUCUUGUUCAGGAUAUUGUACCUAUACAGUUCAUUUAACAAUUUGCUAAUCCUUGAAAGUUAUUAUUAUCAACACUUAGGAUAUAGAGAAAUGAGAAUUAGUAGUUAGUCAUUACAAUUGAACUUGUCAUCAUAUUAGGUGUUUUCAAGGUUAAGCAGAGAUAUAUUUUAGAUAGACAGGUCAUCUUCAAAUCCUUCAGAGAUCUACAGAAUAUGGCAUUUAAAUGUUUUAAUAACUUACAAUUUUUUUAUGAUUAUGAGACUUGUUGGCUUCUGGCAGCACCAAUCUACUUCAGAGAAGAUAUGGGCAUUGAAGAAACUGCAUAUGGAGUUAACUUUCAUUAUGGCAAAAGUUAGCCACUGGGCAACAAAGUGCCCUCAUAUCAACUGCUGAGAGUAUGCUAUCCAAAAUGGACCAAGAGGACACAAAGCAAAGGACUACCAAUCCUUGCCAAAACAAGUGUGGUUGUGGCUUUAGCAACAGGCAUCCUCUGAUGCCAAGACUAUAUGGCACCAUCGCUAAAGUGGCCUUUGCAAUCUGGAAAAGGUACAGGGCCCCUUUCUAAGAAGGCAGCUCAACAGGCAAUGGACCGAUGUCUUCUGGUAUGCAGUGGAACAGUAGCUGAAACAGUUAUUCUUGAAAGAGUAACUAGGCUGAUAGAGUCUAACCUCUUAAUGGUAGACUGGCAUUUGAUAAAGAAGAUGAAGCCACCCACAAGCCGAGAAGAAUGGGAUGCAGAGAAGAACAGGAUGCCGAAAUGAAGCCAUCCACAAGCUGAGAAGAAUAAGCAGAUGAAUUCCAGAAACACCAGCAAUUUCCAGGAUUUAAAAUCCUGAAUCAUGACAGGACACUGGUAGAAUUCAGUUUUAUCUGGUACAUGGAAUACUCAUGCCGAAUGUGAGGUUGAGCUGUAGGCCUUGUGUAUAUCCUACAUCACAAAUGAGUCUGUCAGAUAUGCUAAGCCUGUAGGCUGAAGAUGAUGCCCCAACAUUGCAGAAAACCUCAGGUGACUGUCCAGACAGCUGGCUGUUUCUGUCAACUCACAAUUUUCCAGAAGUUGCUUGUUUGCAAUUCCUGUUUUACUCGGUAAUAUUAUUUCCUUCUUGGUCUCUGAGGGAGUUGAAGAUUUGAUAGUCAUAGUUACAUUUUUCCUUGUUAAGAAAUUUCAAAAAAAAAAAAAGAAACUCACUAAGAGGUGAAAAGUAUAUAAGUUCUAAGGAAUAUUACAGGACAAUUUUCUGUUGGUAAUACAAGUUCAGGUAGAAAGUGAAUUAGGUACAUUUUGAACUCACAAAAAAUAGAGUAGAUAAUGUAAUAUUUUCUCUAAAUUUGUCAAAUUGCUGAUGUAUUUAUUGCUUGUAUAUAUUGUAUAUAGUUGUACUUAUUGUAUAUAGUUUUUCUUAUAUUAUUUAUAAAUUUUAUUCUUAAUAAAUAAAGCACUUUUAAGUAAACACAGCAA
Molecule: long non-coding RNA, 7956 nt
Organism: Peromyscus eremicus (cactus mouse)
Lineage: Eukaryota; Metazoa; Chordata; Mammalia; Rodentia; Cricetidae
Exons: 2
Source: RefSeq, a predicted model, not a curated record